Molecule: long non-coding RNA, 1239 nt
Organism: Chlorocebus sabaeus (green monkey)
Lineage: Eukaryota; Metazoa; Chordata; Mammalia; Primates; Cercopithecidae
Source: RefSeq, a predicted model, not a curated record
UGGACAACUGAAAAGAAGGAUGAGCAACGGUGGUGUCAGCAUGGGCUUCAGAAGGAGAGAUGGCUACCAAACCAGGAGGCCUGGGCUCCAGGCCUGCCCCUCACUCUCUGUGUGACCUCAGGUCCAGAACGGCGAAUCUCGGAGAUUUUACAGGGCUUUCCGUGCUGAUGGCCUCCCAGGUGCCACUACCUAUGACUGACUGAAGAAAUAGAGGAACUCACAUUGGCUAAGCAGUUGCCCAGACCGGCUCUGUGCUGGUCACCUCCCAUGAUCUCUGUCCCCAGCCCAUGUGCUUUCAUGAUCCUCUAUACUCAGCCCAGGCUGCCCCUGAGCACGGAGCUCUGCCCCAUCUGUCUCCUCGCCUCUCCACCUGGAUACCUACCGAGACCUCACGUCCAGCCUGUCCACGAUGCAGCUCCAGAGCUUCCCACACCUGCAGUGCAUUGGUGGCCCCCAUCCUUCCAGUCCCUGGGGUGAAACCCCUAGAGCCACCCUUGGCUCUUCCUCUUUUUGUCUCAUGCCCUAAAUGUGCUCCAUCGACAAACCCAGUUGACUCACUCUUCAAAAUUUACCCAGAACCCAGCCAUGCUUUAUCGCCCUCAUGCUCCCCACCAUAACCUUGAUGCAGGCUGUCAGUACCUCGUGCCUGAAUGAUCUGAAUAGCCUCUUGGCUGGUCUCCCUUCUGUUUCUAUCUAUAACCCCCUUCUGUCUUGUUCUCUGUUCCCUUCUACCAAGCCCCGUGUCUCCCUCAGAGCAAAAGCUUCCCCAUGGCCUGACCCCUCGGUCUGUCUGGCCACCAUUCCCUUUGCCCUUAGUCUCUGUGCCUCUCUGCUGUUCCCUAAGGGCCCAAGACCCACCUCUGUCCGGGCCUUCGCACUUGCUGGUCUCUCAGCCUGGAAUGUUCUUCCCCCAGAAAUCUCUUGGCUGGCUUCCUGUAGGCCUUUAUUCAAAACCCACCUUCCUGGGGAGUGGGGAGGCCCUUCCAGCCACUCCAUCUAAAAAUGUCAGCAGCUCCUCUCCCCACACUUCAAGUUCCCCUCCCUGCUCGACGUCUUUCUCCUUAGCGCCUACCACUCACUAUUGUGCGUAAUAUUCUACUGAUUUACCCCGUUUAUCAUCGGCACUCCCUCCCCUGACUGCUGUGUCCCCAGGACCGAGAACAGCACUGGCACAUGGCAGGUGCUCCAUCUAUGUUUCUGGGGCAAAUGAAUGAAUGAAAGAAUGAGUUCUCACAAUAA